This 526-nucleotide ribosomal RNA is filed under the name uncultured Pseudomonadota bacterium. RNAcentral describes it as "bacterial SSU rRNA". It matches the Rfam family "Bacterial small subunit ribosomal RNA", at positions 355 to 873 of the family's 1533-position model. The record is from RNAcentral. Lineage: Bacteria; Pseudomonadati; Pseudomonadota.
UGGGGAAUUUUGGACAAUGGGGGCAACCCUGAUCCAGCCAUGCCGCGUGCGGGAAGAAGGCCUUCGGUUGUAAACCGCUUUAGUCCGGGAAGAAAAGGACACGGGCGAAUACCCGUCGUUCUUGACGGUACCGGCGGAAUAAGCACCGGCUAACUACGUGCCAGCAGCCGCGGUAAUACGUAGGGUGCGAGCGUUAAUCGGAAUUACUGGGCGUAAAGCGUGCGUAGGCGGUUUGUCGUGUCCUGUGUGAAAGCCCCGGGCUCAACCUGGGAACUGCAUGGGAAACUGGCAAGCUUGAGUGUGGCAGAGGGGGGUGGAAUUCCGCGUGUGGCAGUGAAAUGCGUAGAGAUGCGGAGGAACACCGAUGGCGAAGGCAGCCCCCUGGGCCAACACUGACGCUCAGGCACGAAAGCGUGGGGAGCAAACAGGAUUAGAUACCCUGGUAGUCCACGCCCUAAACGAUGUCGACUAGGUGUUGGGGAAGCGAUUCCUUGGUACCGUAGCUAACGCGUGAAGUCGACCGCCG